ACUCCGUGCUUUCCUGGGCUAAAGAAACUUCAAGCAGCUGGAAAUGCCAGCAGGGUCCUCUCUUUACUCUAUCCGGCCUCUCGCCGUGGGGCUGAGGAGAGAAACUUCAGUAACCAUGGUAACUUGACACCAGAGGCAUUAUGUCCAAUGGAAAUAACAAGUAAUUGGAGAUUGCCAUGCAGAGUACAGAAAAUGUCAAAAUUGAAUGGAUCACUUAGUCUUUGUCAUUUCCUGCAAUUUGGAGAUUUUGUUACUUUAUUUUUUUAAAAAUAGAUUUUUAAUAUAUAUUUCCCCAAUAAAAAGGAAAAGACAACUAACAAAUACCCUCAAAUGCAUUAGGAAAAUUGAUUUAGUAGAAGCCCUAGAAUAUGUGUCUCUAGCCAGACAUAGAUUAUCUUCAUUCGUAUCUUAAAGGCCAAUUGAAAAAGAAAAUGCUCUAUCAUGAGUCUGAAUGCCUGAAUACCACUUUCAAGCAAAAAAAAUUGCUGUUGAAUCUGUUUGUCCUUUAUUUUGGUAUGUUAAUCUAUUUUCCUUUCUUUGAACAGAAAAAGUAUCUUAAAUGCUUUAGUAAAAGCUGAACAUAUUUUAGUUUGGAUAUACUAGUGCACCAGGACAUAGAAUCAGAGAAUGAUAAUCAUAUCGGGAUUUGGGUUGAAAGGGACCUUAAAGAUUAUCUAGUUCUGACCCUGCUCAAUCCAGAUACUUCACACCCCAGUCCUUAUUAAUACAUUAGUAGUACAGAACCCCAAGCUUGACUUCAUCUAUUAAGUGGUAACAUCCUAGACACCCACACCUACAAAAGACUCCUCUAUCCCUGUAAUAAGGAGCUAGGGUGAGAAGUUGGUCCAACACAAGUCACCAUAUUCUGGAUCAGAAGCCAUUUUUUGUGGCCAUUGUCUGAAAGAAACCUAUAGCAGGAGGCUCUGUGGAGAUGGGAAGGGAGUUCUAUAACUACUGCUUUGACAGCAGAUACUAUUUCCACGUGGAACCCUGAUGUCAAUACGGAGUGUGCAGCACUCAGGCUGCACCAAGUGACAGAAGAAGCUGUUACAAGAGCAGCUGUUGUACAUUGUACACAGAAAGUACCAGUAAAGGUGAAGCCUUUCUCAUUAUCUUCUGCUGAUGUUUCUACUACCUCCAGGCCUAAGUUCCAUUUCUGACAUCCCAGUAGGACCUGCUAAAAAUGGAUACAACAAGGAGAAAAAUUAAGAUAAGCAGAGUAAGAAUCUUACAAAAAUUUGUCUCAUAAUCUUCAGGAUGUACCACAAACAUGGACAUGCAUUCAGCAAGUAGUCAAACACAGAAGCAUGGACCAUAAGAGUCUUCUGCAAUUCACUUUUGGAUAUUUUUGACUUCUAUCACAAAGAUGACAGCUGAGUGACAGAGGUGACUUAUCUUGACAAGACAUACUGCUGGUUUGCAGAGGACCACGAAGAGGACAAACAAAAGAAUCAAGACAGAAGACUUGAUUUACGUCUUGUUUUACAUACAGUGCAUCUAUAAUGGUAUUUUCCUUUGAAGACUGCUUAAAGCACAGAACUGACAAUGAGAUAUAAUUUAUCCACCAGAGAAAUGGCAGGGUCAGCAUUUCAAAGUAAAACUUAAUGUAAGUGUUGAGUGAAAUAACAAUAACUGGGCUAGUCAUUCAUCUGUCUUACCAUUCAUUACUGAAUACAUAAUAUAAAAAAAUUUUUAUAUUCUAUAUUUAGUAUCUAGUCAUUAUAUAUUAUAUUCAGCCUCCCUGGCCAUUGUACUUGCUUACUUUUUCUAAAAUCCCAGGCAGUCUUGGAUACUUUGGUUUUCUGCAUUUGGAGUGAGACUGCACAAUACAGCGCAAUAAAAUCCCCAUGGCAUUAUUUCUUUAGUGUAUAUUGCACAGAAGUCAAUAGGUACAUUUAAUAAAGUAAGAUCCAAUCCAUGG
Parus major (Great Tit) is the source of this 1921-nucleotide long non-coding RNA. RefSeq lists it as uncharacterized. The record is from RefSeq and is a predicted model, not a curated record. NCBI's taxonomy places the organism in Eukaryota, Metazoa, Chordata, Aves, Passeriformes, Paridae. The transcript is spliced from 6 exons.